RNAcentral lists this ribosomal RNA (254 nucleotides) under uncultured bacterium. Its description in RNAcentral is "partial 16S ribosomal RNA". It matches the Rfam family "Bacterial small subunit ribosomal RNA", at positions 524 to 776 of the family's 1533-position model. The record is from RNAcentral.
UACGAAGGGGGCUAGCGUUGCUCGGAAUCACUGGGCGUAAAGGGCGCGUAGGCGGCUCGUUUAGUCGGGUGUGAAAUCCCAAGGCUCAACCUUGGAACUGCAUUCGAUACUGGCGGGCUAGAGACCGGAAGAGGUGGGUGGAAUACCCAGUGUAGAGGUGAAAUUCGUAGAUAUGGGGAGGAACACCGGUGGCGAAGGCGGCCACCUGGACGGUCACUGGACGCUGAGGCACGAAAGCGUGGGGAGCAAACAGG